GAGCCCUUAGUAUAGUGGAUAGUACAGAAGUUUCCUAAACUUUUGACGUCGGUUCAACUCCGGCAGGGCUCA
RNAcentral lists this transfer RNA (72 nucleotides) under Streptococcaceae bacterium. Its description in RNAcentral is "tRNA-Arg". It matches the Rfam family "tRNA". Rfam says of the family: Transfer RNA (tRNA) molecules are approximately 80 nucleotides in length. Their secondary structure includes four short double-helical elements and three loops (D, anti-codon, and T loops). Lineage: Bacteria; Bacillati; Bacillota; Bacilli; Lactobacillales; Streptococcaceae. The record is from RNAcentral.